Molecule: non-coding RNA, 78 nt
Organism: Cordylochernes scorpioides
Lineage: Eukaryota; Metazoa; Arthropoda; Arachnida; Pseudoscorpiones; Chernetidae
Source: the annotation of a GenBank genome assembly
UCACUAUGGGGGGGCUGCUUGCGAGUUAAAUCCCUGCCCGCCCGCGUGGCAGGCGAGCAUUCUACCACUGAACCACCG